AAACCAGCACCUCAAGUGGUCAGGAUGAUUAUUGGGCCUAAAGCAUCCGUAGCCUGUUCUGUAAGUUUUCGGUUAAAUCCAUUAGCUCAACUAAUGGGCUGCCGAAAAUACUGUAGAACUAGGGAGUGGGAGAGGUAGACGGUAUUCGGUAGGAAGGGGUAAAAUCCUUUGAUCUAUUGAGGACCACCUGUGGCGAAGGCGGUCUACCAGAACACGUUCGACGGUGAGGGAUGAAAGCUGGGGGAGCAAACCGGAUUAGAAACCCGAGUAGUCC
RNAcentral lists this ribosomal RNA (274 nucleotides) under uncultured bacterium. RNAcentral describes it as "partial 16S ribosomal RNA". It matches the Rfam family "Archaeal small subunit ribosomal RNA", at positions 473 to 747 of the family's 1478-position model. The record is from RNAcentral.